Molecule: long non-coding RNA, 490 nt
Organism: Melanaphis sacchari
Lineage: Eukaryota; Metazoa; Arthropoda; Insecta; Hemiptera; Aphididae
Exons: 4
Source: RefSeq, a predicted model, not a curated record
GUUGUGAUUAUUAUCUUAUUAUAUUACAAAAUAUUAAUAAUUAUUUACAUUAUUGAGUUUUGGUGUCACAAUGUUUAAAAGUCGUACAUUAAAGUUACUAAAAGGUUUUGGAAUCAAACCUCCUGAAGAUACAAAAAAAGAAAAAGAAAAUGCAAUUAACAAUACACAGUUCAAGAAUGUGGAAAAAGUAAUGCAUUGGCUGGAAUCAGAAUUUAAUGGCAUUCCUUGUGUCAAUGAAGAUGUUGAAGAGAAUAUUGAUUGUAUAUAAAUAAAAAUGAACCUUUUAAAACUUUAAAAUGUAUGCCAGUAAACACUAUUAUUCAUAACGAACCAGAUUAUUAUGAACUUCAAAAUGUUUGUGAAGAAACAAAUUCUGUUUAAGAUAUUAGUCACCAUAUUAAUGAAACCUUGGUUCAAUCAAAAGAUGGAACAAAGGAAUUUAAUGAGUGGAAUACAAUUUCUAAUAGCUUGAUUGAAUCAACAAACCAUA